UGGGGAAUUUUGCGCAAUGGGCGAAAGCCUGACGCAGCAACGCCGCGUGGAGGAUGAAGGUGCUCUGCAUUGUAAACUCCUGUCGGCCGGGACGAAUUGGCGGGGUGCUAAUCAGCUCCGCCUUGACUGUACCGGCAAAGGAAGCCCCGGCUAACUCCGUGCCAGCAGCCGCGGUAAUACGGAGGGGGCAAGCGUUACUCGGAAUUAUUGGGCGUAAAGGGCGCGUAGGUGGUUCUGUGCGUCGGAGGUGAAAUCCCCGGGCUUAACCCGGGACCUGCCUCCGAUACGGCAGAACUUGAGUCCGGGAGAGGGGAGCAGAAUUCCCAGUGUAGCGGUGAAAUGCGUAGAUAUUGGGAGGAAUACCAGUGGCGAAGGCGGCUCCCUGGACCGGUACUGACACUGAGGCGCGAAAGCGUGGGUAGCAAACAGG
RNAcentral lists this ribosomal RNA (430 nucleotides) under uncultured bacterium. RNAcentral's name for it is "bacterial SSU rRNA". It matches the Rfam family "Bacterial small subunit ribosomal RNA", at positions 355 to 776 of the family's 1533-position model. The record is from RNAcentral.